UGACCUGCCCGGUGAAAUUUUUUUUAACGGCCGCGGUAUCUUGACCGUGCAAAGGUAGCAUAAUCAAUUGUUUUAUAAUUGAAGGACUGGAAUGAAUGGUUGGAAUGAAAUAUUAGCUGUCUUAUUUGUAUUUAUUAGAAUUUAGCUUUUAGAUGAAGAGAUUUAGAUGUAAUUGAUAGACAAGAAGACCCUGUUGAGCUUUAAAUAAUUUUAGAGAUGUAUUUUAUUAUAUUAAAUAAAUAGAUUUUAGAUUUUUUUUGGUUGGGGCGACUGAGGAAUAAUAAAAGCUUCCUUUAGCUUAGAUAGAUUGUUCGAUUUUGAUCCAAUAUUAUUGAUUAAAAAAAAUAGUUACCACAGGGAUAACAGCAUAAUCUUCUUUGAGAGUUCAUAUCGAAAAGAGGGGUUGUGACCUCGAUGUUGGACUAAAAUAUCCUAUAAAUGUAGCUGUUUAUGAUGGUUGG
Molecule: ribosomal RNA, 461 nt
Filed under: Bellamya sp. 2 AJ-2009
Lineage: Eukaryota; Metazoa; Mollusca; Gastropoda; Architaenioglossa; Viviparidae
Description: partial 16S ribosomal RNA
Rfam family: Bacterial large subunit ribosomal RNA
Source: RNAcentral